RNAcentral lists this transfer-messenger RNA (335 nucleotides) under Lentimicrobiaceae bacterium. Its description in RNAcentral is "partial transfer-messenger RNA". It matches the Rfam family "transfer-messenger RNA", at positions 66 to 374 of the family's 374-position model. From Rfam's summary of the family: Bacterial tmRNA, also known as 10Sa RNA or SsrA, is named for its dual tRNA and mRNA-like properties. Its role is to liberate the mRNA from a stalled ribosome. To accomplish this part of the tmRNA is used as a reading frame that ends in a translation stop signal. Lineage: Bacteria; Pseudomonadati; Bacteroidota; Bacteroidia; Bacteroidales; Lentimicrobiaceae. The record is from RNAcentral.
UCAUAAAUCUUAGCUGCGAAAAAUUAAUUGGCGAAAAUAACUACGCUCUCGCUGCUUGAUCGAAGAACAGUAGAUCGUUGCUUAAUUCGUCCACAAGGUGGAUGAACGGGACAUCUCGCGGAUGGACUUUCCUGAUUCCGGUCCGGGAACGAGGUGCUCAUCAAUUUCAGGAUAGCGAUGCGGAGGCUCCGGCCGCAUAGUGAAAUUUAGGAGAUAAGGUUGAGUUUAGGAUGUCUGUUUCCUUGCUCAGCUCGACAAUCAACAGCAGAAUAAGCAUGUAGAAAGCAUGGGUGUUCCUUGUUUGGACGAGGGUUCGACUCCCUCCAGCUCCACGG